UUGCUAUUGGAGGCUGUGGCAAUUCUAUAAAGUUAUCGUGCAAUCAAUGCCUAUUUCUGGAUUUCUUUUUUUUUUACCUAUAAAGAAUCGCGGCUCGCCGCUCCCUUGUAGAUUCAUAAUAACUUCUCGAAUCUCAUGGCCUUGUGCCGGCGAAGCUUCAUUCAAAUAUCUGCCCUAUCAACUUUCCAUGGUAUGAUAUAGGCCUACCAUGGUUUCAACGGGUAACGGGGAAUAAGGGUUCGAUUCCGGAGAGGGAGCCUGAGAAACGGCUACCACAUCCAAGGAAGGCAGCAGGCGCGCAAAUUACCCAAUCCCGACACGGGGAGGUAGUGACAAUAAAUAACAAUAUAGGGCUCUUUUGGGUCUUAUAAUUGGAAUGAGUACAAUUUAAAUCCCUUAACGAGGAACAAUUGGAGGGCAAGUCUGGUGCCAGCAGCCGCGGUAAUUCCAGCUCCAAUAGCGUAUAUUAAAGUUGUUGCAGUUAAAAAGCUCGUAGUUGA
RNAcentral lists this ribosomal RNA (500 nucleotides) under Pleurotus sp. 2 YY-2015. RNAcentral describes it as "bacterial SSU rRNA". It matches the Rfam family "Eukaryotic small subunit ribosomal RNA", at positions 133 to 637 of the family's 1831-position model. Lineage: Eukaryota; Fungi; Basidiomycota; Agaricomycetes; Agaricales; Pleurotaceae. The record is from RNAcentral.